RNAcentral lists this ribosomal RNA (853 nucleotides) under uncultured KB1 group bacterium. RNAcentral describes it as "bacterial SSU rRNA". It matches the Rfam family "Bacterial small subunit ribosomal RNA", at positions 564 to 1404 of the family's 1533-position model. The record is from RNAcentral. Lineage: Bacteria; Candidatus Calescibacteriota.
AGGGCGUCUAGGCGGCCAAUCAAGUCAACGUUGAAAGCCCUUGGCUAAACUGAGGGAUGUACGUCGAAACUGAUUGGCUCGAGGAACGUAGAGGAAGGCGGAACUCUAGGAGUAGCGGUGAAAUGCGUAGAGACCGAGAGGUACCCCGAUGGUGAAGACAGCCUUCUGGGCGUUUCCUGACGCUGAAGCGCUAAGGCCAGGGGAGCAAAGGGGAUUAGAUACCCCCGUAGUCCUGGCUUCAAACGAUGUGGGCUUGGUGUCGGCUCCCGACAGAGAGUCGUUGCCGGAGUUAACGCGUUAAGCCCACCGCCUGGGGAUUACGUCCGCAAGGAUGAAACUCAAGGGAAUUGACGGGGGCCCACACAACCGGUGGAGCACGUGGUUUAAUUCGAUGAUAAGCGAAGAACCUUACCAGGGCUUGACCUAGCGGUAGUAGGACCCUGAAAGGGGAACGACCUCAAGCUUUGCUUGAGGAGCCGUGGCAGGUAUUGCAUGGCUGUCGUCAGCUCGUGUCGUGGGACGUUGGGUUAAGUCCCGUAACGAGCGCAACCCCUGCCCUUAAUUGCCAGCGGGUAAUGCCGGGGACUAUAAGGGGACUGCCGGAGAAUAUCCGGGGGAAGGAGGGGAUGACGUCAAGUCAUUAUGAUCCUUAUGCUCUGGGCGACACACGUGCUACAAUGGCCACUACAGUGAGGAGCGAGCCCGCAAGGGUCAGCAAAUCUCAAAAAGGUGGCCUCAGUGCGGAUUGGGGUCUGCAACCCGACCCCAUGAAGAUGGAAUCGGUAGUAAUCGCGGGUCAGCCAUACCGCGGUGAAUACGUACCUGGGCCUUGUACACACCGCCCGUCACACCA